GGGCGAUUAGCUCAGUUGGGAGAGCGCAUGCUUCGCAUGUAUGAGGUCGAGGGUUCGAAUCCCUUAUCGUCCACCA
Molecule: transfer RNA, 76 nt
Filed under: Candidatus Avimonoglobus intestinipullorum
Lineage: Bacteria; Bacillati; Bacillota; Clostridia; Eubacteriales
Description: tRNA-Ala
Rfam family: tRNA
About the family: Transfer RNA (tRNA) molecules are approximately 80 nucleotides in length. Their secondary structure includes four short double-helical elements and three loops (D, anti-codon, and T loops). Further hydrogen bonds mediate the characteristic L-shaped molecular structure. tRNAs have two regions of fundamental functional importance: the anti-codon, which is responsible for specific mRNA codon recognition, and the 3' end, to which the tRNAs corresponding amino acid is attached (by aminoacyl-tRNA synthetases). tRNAs cope with the degeneracy of the genetic code in two manners: having more than one tRNA (with a specific anti-codon) for a particular amino acid; and 'wobble' base-pairing, i.e. permitting non-standard base-pairing at the 3rd anti-codon position.
Source: RNAcentral